CAGUAGCCGCGGGAAUACGAAGGGGGCUAGCGUUGUUCGGAAUUACUGGGCGUAAAGCGCACGUAGGCGGAUAUUUAAGUCAGGGGUGAAAGCCCGCAGCUCAACUGCGGAACUGCCUUUGAUACUGGGUAUCUUGAGUAUGGAAGAGGUUAGUGGAAUUGCGGGUGUAGAGGUGAAAUUCGUAGAUAUUCGCAGGAACACCAGUGGCGAAGGCGGCUAACUGGUCCAUAACUGACGCUGAGGUGCGAAAGCGUGGGGAGCAAACAGGAUUAGAUACCCCGGUAGUCCCUGUCUCUUAUAC
Molecule: ribosomal RNA, 301 nt
Filed under: uncultured bacterium
Lineage: Bacteria
Description: partial 16S ribosomal RNA
Rfam family: Bacterial small subunit ribosomal RNA
Source: RNAcentral